This 473-nucleotide ribosomal RNA is filed under the name uncultured bacterium. RNAcentral describes it as "partial 16S ribosomal RNA". It matches the Rfam family "Bacterial small subunit ribosomal RNA", at positions 28 to 507 of the family's 1533-position model. The record is from RNAcentral.
GAUAAACGCUGGCGGCGCACAUAAGACAUGCAAGUUGAACGGACUUAAUCGAAAUAUUUAUCUUUUGAAGCGGUUAGUGGCGGACUGGUGAGUAACGCGUAAGGAACCUGCCUAUUAGAGGGGAAUAACAGUGAGAAAUCAUUGCUAAUACCGCAUAUGCCAUAGAUAUCACAUGAUAACAGUGGGAAAGGAGCAAUCCGCUAAUAGAUGGCCUUGCGUCUGAUUAGAUAGUUGGUGGGGUAACGGCCUACCAAGUCGACGAUCAGUAGCCGGACUGAGAGGUUGAACGGCCACAUUGGGACUGAGAUACGGCCCAGACUCCUACGGGAGGCAGCAGUCGGGAAUAUUGCGCAAUGGAGGAAACUCUGACGCAGUGACGCCGCGUAUAGGAAGAAGGUUUUCGGAUUGGAAACUAUUGUCGUUAGGGAAGAGAAAGGACAGUACCUAAGGAGGAAGCUCCGGCUAACUACGUG